RNAcentral lists this ribosomal RNA (468 nucleotides) under uncultured bacterium. RNAcentral's name for it is "partial 16S ribosomal RNA". It matches the Rfam family "Bacterial small subunit ribosomal RNA", at positions 28 to 507 of the family's 1533-position model. The record is from RNAcentral.
GACGAACGCUGGCGGCGUGCUUAACACAUGCAAGUCGAACGGAAAGUCCCUGCUUUUGUGGGUUGCUCGAGUGGCGACCGGGUGAUUAACACGUGAGUAACCUGCCCUUGACUUUGGGAUAACUUCAGGAAACUGGGGCUAAUACCGGAUAGGAGCUCCUGCUGCUUGGUUGGGGUUGGAAAGUUUCGGCGGUUGGGGAUGGACUCGCGGCUUAUCAGCUUGUUGGUGGAGUAGUGGCUUACCAAGGCUUUGACGGGUAGCCGGCCUGAGAGGGUGACCGGCGACAUGGGGACGGAGAUACGGGCCAGACUACGACGGGAGACAGCAGGGGAGAAUAUUGCACAAUGGGCGGAAGGCUGAGGCAGGAACGGGGCGUGCGAGAUGAAGGGCGGCGGGUGGUAAACCGCGUUCGCCAGUGAAGAAGCGGGAGUGACGGUAAUGGGUAAAGAAGCACAGGCUAACUACGUG